This is a long non-coding RNA of Canis lupus familiaris (dog), 1342 nucleotides long. RefSeq lists it as uncharacterized. Lineage: Eukaryota; Metazoa; Chordata; Mammalia; Carnivora; Canidae. The transcript is spliced from 3 exons. The record is from RefSeq and is a predicted model, not a curated record.
UAUAAUUAUGGAGCAAUAUUGUUUGGUGAAUUCACUAUAUUGUGCAUGUGAUCUCCGGGACUUAUUUUCUUUUAAUGUAUCUGUUUUUGUUUUUAUUCCCAGAACUAAACUCAGUGCCAGAAACAUGAUAGGAAAUUGGAGUGGAUAGUGGCAUUUUAAGAGUUGGACCAUACUGCCAGGGAGAAGAGCUGUGGUGCUAGAAAUACAGAGAGAGAGGCUACUUCCUUACUGCCAGAACCCUGUUGAGACCCUGCUGUCCCAGGAAUCCGUAGUACUAGCAGCAAAGCCGUGGUGUCUCCCCAAGCAUCCUCAGCCUUCUUUGGCAAGGUGAGAAGAUAAAGAGUUUAACAAGAGAACCAGAAGAGAGUCUUGCAUCAAUCUUUAAUUUCAGUAUCAACCUACCUCAUAGGCUUGGAGUGAGGAUUUGCUAUGGUUUUCCUCUAGUCUGGCCACGUGAGACAAGGAGUCACAGUUAUUAAUGAACCAUGACCUAUAAAGGGGACAAUCGAAGAUGGUCAACUGGUAUUUUAUAAAGGUCAGGGGUUGCUCUAAAAGAACUUGUGUAGGGACAACGAUGGUUCUUCUACCACACAAGGAAGUAAAUCCAGAUUCAUAGGAACGUACGACUAGAAUGGACAGCAAGAGGUGAAGUGUUUCAGCCCUUACCACCAAACAGGACAUCCGAUCAUUCAAAAUACCAGUGGAAAUAGAAUGGACACAGUCAACCAGAUCUUGUUUUGGAAACCAAAUGUUUCUCUAGCAAAUGGCUCAGUUAACACCUGCAUAGCAUGUGAGCUGAUGUUCUAGAAUAGCAAGGAGUCCUGAAGACGUUUUGCCUGUCUUAUUACUUUUCUUGACUUAUCUCUUGGAAGUGAGAUUUUUUUUUUAAGGUUAUGAAAGAUAGUACAAUGUUGGAUCUAUCAUGUCAUGAUAUAUCCUAUAAGGUGUGUGUUCCUGAAAGAUAUGUGGAAACGAAUAUCAACUUUACUGUAAGAGGAAGAGUAUUUCUCAUUUUUUAGGGCAUGGGCAGGAGUGUGGGCUCCAGUUGUGGAAAUGCAGAACUUCUAGAUAUAGGAUGUUUAUCAAGAAGAAUUUAUUAAGAUUUUUCACAGAACGAUUGCAGAGUUUAUUAUGAAGAUUUUAUUUAGCAAAGUAGUGAUAAGUUCAUCAUUGUGUGAGUAAUAAGAUUCAUCAAUUACCGCUCCUUGCAUGGCAUUAUUUUCAAUUAUUUUAGUGUAUUGUCUUUUUUCUCUCCCUUACCAGCUUUCCCAAAAUUUAAUACACUUCCUUAAAAAAAAAAACUGAUGUCCUUUAAUUUCUAUCGUUUUCCAAAAAAAGAGUA